RNAcentral lists this ribosomal RNA (538 nucleotides) under uncultured fungus. RNAcentral's name for it is "eukaryotic LSU rRNA". The stretch from base 188 to 341 matches the Rfam family "5.8S ribosomal RNA". Lineage: Eukaryota; Fungi. The record is from RNAcentral.
GUCGUAACAAGGUUUCCGUAGGUGAACCUGCGGAAGGAUCAUUACCUAGAGUUUGUAGACUUCGGUCUGCUACCUCUUACCCAUGUCUUUUGAGUACCUUCGUUUCCUCGGCGGGUCCGCCCGCCGAUUGGACAACAUUCAAACCCUUUGCAGUUGCAAUCAGCGUCUGAAAAAACAUAAUAGUUACAACUUUCAACAACGGAUCUCUUGGUUCUGACAUCGAUGAAGAACGCAGCGAAAUGCGAUAAGUAGUGUGAAUUGCAGAAUUCAGUGAAUCAUCGAAUCUUUGAACGCACAUUGCGCCCCUUGGUAUUCCAUGGGGCAUGCCUGUUCGAGCGUCAUUUGUACCUUCAAGCUCUGCUUGGUGUUGGGUGUUUGUCUCGCCUCUGCGUGUAGACUCGCCUUAAAACAAUUGGCAGCCGGCGUAUUGAUUUCGGAGCGCAGUACAUCUCGCGCUUUGCACUCAUAACGACGACGUCCAAAAGUACAUUUUUACACUCUUGACCUCGGAUCAGGUAGGGAUACCCGCUGAACUUAA